UAAACUUGUGAUUGAUUCUAAGCCUUCGU
This 29-nucleotide non-coding RNA is filed under the name Mus musculus (house mouse). Lineage: Eukaryota; Metazoa; Chordata; Mammalia; Rodentia; Muridae. The record is from RNAcentral.